Long non-coding RNA from Homarus americanus (American lobster), 161 nucleotides. RefSeq lists it as uncharacterized. The record is from RefSeq and is a predicted model, not a curated record. The transcript is spliced from 2 exons. Lineage: Eukaryota; Metazoa; Arthropoda; Malacostraca; Decapoda; Nephropidae.
GGCGGCGGAAUUUGGCGGCGGCGGCUGGAGGUGGCGGAGGCGGUUUUGGAGGAGGAUACGGGAAGUAGUGGACAUCACACCUGUUGUGUUUCAUUAUUUACUUUUGUUACGUCGAUUAAUUAAUUUUGUUUUUUUUCUAAUAAAUAAAUACUAAGAUGUGA